AUUGAACGCUGGCGGCAUGCCUUACACAUGCAAGUCGAACGGUGACAGGUCUUCGGAUGCUGACGAGUGGCGAACGGGUGAGUAAUACAUCGGAACGUGCCCGAUCGUGGGGGAUAACGAGGCGAAAGCUUUGCUAAUACCGCAUACGAUCUACGGAUGAAAGCGGGGGAUCUUCGGACCUCGCGCGGACGGAGCGGCCGAUGGCAGAUUAGGUAGUUGGUGGGAUAAAAGCUUACCAAGCCGACGAUCUGUAGCUGGUCUGAGAGGAUGAUCAGCCACACUGGGACUGAGACACGGCCCAGACUCCUACGGGAGGCAGCAGUGGGGAAUUUUGGACAAUGGGCGAAAGCCUGAUCCAGCCAUGCCGCGUGCAGGAUGAAGGCCUUCGGGUUGUAAACUGCUUUUGUACGGAACGAAAAGCCUCUUUCUAAUAAAGAGGGGUCAUGACGGUACCGUAAGAAUAAGCACCGGCUAACUACGU
RNAcentral lists this ribosomal RNA (481 nucleotides) under uncultured bacterium. RNAcentral's name for it is "partial 16S ribosomal RNA". It matches the Rfam family "Bacterial small subunit ribosomal RNA", at positions 30 to 506 of the family's 1533-position model. The record is from RNAcentral.